Molecule: unclassified non-coding RNA, 342 nt
Filed under: soil metagenome
Description: partial contains 5.8S ribosomal RNA, internal transcribed spacer 2, and large subunit ribosomal RNA
Rfam family: 5.8S ribosomal RNA (bases 1-119)
Source: RNAcentral
GAUGAAGAACGCAGCGAAAUGCGAUAAGUAAUGUGAAUUGCAGAAUUCAGUGAAUCAUCGAAUCUUUGAACGCACAUUGCGCCCGCUAGUAUUCUGGCGGCAUGCCUGUCCGAGCGUCAUUUCAACCCUCCAGCCCCCGGGCUUGGUGUUGGGGAUCGGCGAGCCUCCGCGCCCGCCGUCCCCUAAAUCUAGUGGCGGUCUCGCUGUAGCUUCCUCUGCGUAGUAGCACACCUCGCACUGGGAAACAGCGCGGCCACGCCGUUAAACCCCCAACUUCUGAACGUUUGACCUCGGAUCAGGUAGGAAUACCCGCUGAACUUAAGCAUAUCAAUAAGCGGAGGA